AACCCAUGGUGCAAGCACCGUCUCAAUAAGCCCUUAUACCUCUCCCAUGCAUCACAUAGGGUCUCUAAGUCAAUCUGAAUGAAGAGAUAUCAUUCCUUAAUUU
Gossypium raimondii (Peruvian cotton) is the source of this 103-nucleotide small nucleolar RNA. It matches the Rfam family "Plant small nucleolar RNA R71". Rfam says of the family: R71 is a member of the C/D box family of snoRNAs containing the C (UGAUGA) and D (CUGA) box motifs. Multiple nearly identical copies of this snoRNA have been identified in Arabidopsis, and it is thought to function as a 2'-O-ribose methylation guide for 18S ribosomal RNA. Lineage: Eukaryota; Viridiplantae; Streptophyta; Magnoliopsida; Malvales; Malvaceae. The record is from Rfam.